UCGACAGGAGUGCUUCGGCAGGAGUGGAGGACCCAAGCAGUACGGGACAGCCGGCAGGUCCGGUCGUUCCUCGGGGUGAAGCCGCACGGCGGCCGGGAAACUUCGUCCACCCGAACCCGACAGGUCAUCCUUCACAGGCGGCUGACGAAGGGUUGC
Molecule: small RNA, 156 nt
Filed under: Streptomyces clavuligerus
Lineage: Bacteria; Bacillati; Actinomycetota; Actinomycetes; Kitasatosporales; Streptomycetaceae
Description: c-di-AMP sequence
Rfam family: c-di-AMP riboswitch aptamer (ydaO/yuaA leader)
About the family: This family represents a conserved RNA structure found upstream of the ydaO and yuaA genes in Bacillus subtilis and related genes in other bacteria. The ydaO/yuaA element is thought to act as a genetic "off" switch for the ydaO and yuaA genes in its native state.
Source: RNAcentral